Molecule: ribosomal RNA, 440 nt
Filed under: uncultured bacterium
Lineage: Bacteria
Description: partial 16S ribosomal RNA
Rfam family: Bacterial small subunit ribosomal RNA
Source: RNAcentral
CCUACGGGAGGCAGCAGUGGGGAAUAUUGCACAAUGGGGGAAACCCUGAUGCAGCGACGCCGCGUGAGUGAAGAAGUAAUUCGUUAUGUAAAGCUCUAUCAGCAGGGAAGAAAAUGACGGUACCUGAGUAAGAAGCCCCGGCUAACUACGUGCCAGCAGCCGCGGUAAGACGGAGGGGGCAAGCGUUAUCCGGAUUUACUGGGUGUAAAGGGAGCGUAGACGGCAGUGCAAGUCUGGAGUGAAAGGCGGGGGCUCAACCCACGGACUGCUCUGGAAACUGUACGGCUGGAGUGCAGGAGAGGUAAGUGGAAUUCGUAGUGUAGCGGUGAAAUGCGUAGAUAUUAGGAGGAACACCAGUGGCGAAGGCGGCUUACUGGACUGUAACUGACGUUGAGGCUCGAAAGCGUGGGGAGCAAACAGGAUUAGAUACCCUUGUAGUC